GAUGAACGCUGGCGGCGUGCCUAAUACAUGCAAGUCGAGCGAACAGACGAGGAGCUUGCUCCUCUGACGUUAGCGGCGGACGGGUGAGUAACACGUGGAUAACCUACCUAUAAGACUGGGAUAACUUCGGGAAACCGGAGCUAAUACCGGAUAAUAUAUUGAACCGCAUGGUUCAAUAGUGAAAGACGGUUUUGCUGUCACUUAUAGAUGGAUCCGCGCCGCAUUAGCUAGUUGGUAAGGUAACGGCUUACCAAGGCAACGAUGCGUAGCCGACCUGAGAGGGUGAUCGGCCACACUGGAACUGAGACACGGUCCAGACGCCUACGGGAGGCAGCAGUAGGGAAUCUGCCGCAAUGGGCGAAAGCCUGACGGAGCAGCGCCGCGUGAGUGAUGAAGGUCUUCGGAUCGUAAAACUCUGUUAUUAGGGAAGAACAAAUGUGUAAGUAACUAUGCACGUCUUGACGGUACCUAAUCAGAAAGCCACGGCUAACUACGUG
RNAcentral lists this ribosomal RNA (497 nucleotides) under uncultured bacterium. RNAcentral describes it as "partial 16S ribosomal RNA". It matches the Rfam family "Bacterial small subunit ribosomal RNA", at positions 28 to 507 of the family's 1533-position model. The record is from RNAcentral.